This 127-nucleotide ribosomal RNA is filed under the name Duganella alba. RNAcentral's name for it is "partial 23S ribosomal RNA". It matches the Rfam family "Bacterial large subunit ribosomal RNA", at positions 1 to 119 of the family's 2925-position model. Lineage: Bacteria; Pseudomonadati; Pseudomonadota; Betaproteobacteria; Burkholderiales; Oxalobacteraceae. RNAcentral also lists the same sequence under 5 other names. The record is from RNAcentral.
GUUAUAGGGACAAGUGAAUAAGUGCACAUGGCGGAUGCCUUGGCGAUUACAGGCGAUGAAGGACGUAGUAGCUUGCGAUAAGCUGCGGGGAGCUAGCAAACAAGCUUUGAUCCGCAGAUUUCCGAAU